UACGUAGGGUGCGAGCGUUGUCCGGAAUUACUGGGCGUAAAGCGUGCGUAGGUGGUUUGUUAAGUCUGAUGUGAAAGCCCUGGGCUCAACCUGGGAAUUGCAUUGGAUACUGGCAGGCUAGAGUGCGGUAGAGGGUAGUGGAAUUCCCGGUGUAGCAGUGAAAAUGCGUAGAGAUCGGGAGGAACACCUGUGGCGAAAGCGGCUCACUGGACCACAACUGACGCUGAGGCGCGAAAAGCUAGGGGGAGCAAACAGGG
This 257-nucleotide ribosomal RNA is filed under the name uncultured bacterium. Its description in RNAcentral is "partial 16S ribosomal RNA". It matches the Rfam family "Bacterial small subunit ribosomal RNA", at positions 524 to 777 of the family's 1533-position model. The record is from RNAcentral.